Molecule: long non-coding RNA, 313 nt
Filed under: Populus trichocarpa (black cottonwood)
Lineage: Eukaryota; Viridiplantae; Streptophyta; Magnoliopsida; Malpighiales; Salicaceae
Description: long non-coding RNA (PTRI_LNC000077)
Source: RNAcentral
UCUCACACGACAGCCAUGCCUGGUCUUGUCUCUGUUAAAACCCCACCAGAUGCACCACCACUUAACAUUUCUCUCCCUGAGAUCCGACCCGAAUCUUCAACCCGAUCCGAACAACAACCCAGAACCCCAACUCCCAAAAAACCCCCAUCUCCUUCCCCAUCUCGAUCCAAACCUUCCCCUGCCCGCUCCGCCAAAAAACCACCACCAGAUUCUCCUAACUCGAAUACCCUCCUCUCGGAUCCUUCCUUGGACAACCCCGAUCUUGGCCCGUUUCUCUUAAAGCUCGCCCGUGACACCAUUGCAUCCGGUGAAG